CUGCACCUCAAGUGGUCAGGAUGAUUAUUGGGCCUAAAGCAUCCGUAGCCGGCUCUGUAAGUUUUCGGUUAAAUCUGUAUGCUCAACAUACAGGCUGCCGGGAAUACUGCAGAGCUAGGGAGUGGGAGAGGUAGACGGUACUCGGUAGGAAGGGGUAAAAUCCUUUGAUCUAUUGAUGACCACCUGUGGCGAAGGCGGUCUACCAGAACACGUCCGACGGUGAGGGAUGAAAGCUGGGGGAGCAAACCGGAUUAGAUACCCGAGUAGUCC
Molecule: ribosomal RNA, 270 nt
Filed under: uncultured archaeon
Lineage: Archaea
Description: partial 16S ribosomal RNA
Rfam family: Archaeal small subunit ribosomal RNA
Source: RNAcentral